ACAUACCUACGCGACAAAUGUCCGGCAUGUUUGAACCUUUUCGGCGAAAAGAUAGAAUUUACUGGGUUACUCCAAUGGUCCAAUCAAUAUGCACAGAAACAAGGUCAGUGCAUUUUUCGUACUUCACACGAAACUAAGAGGAGACAAGAAGUUUUUGAUAAGGUAAGUACUUCCGGAUGCGCAUGCCCACUUUCGAUGUCUUAGUUACAAAAACCGCUCAUGAACUUUGCUUAUAAGGACUUCAAUGUCUGCUUUCUGCCAUGACUUAUAAACAAAAAGUUUACGAAAUUGCUAACAAAAUCAAAAUGCGAAAUUUAUUGUGAAUAUGAAAUAAUUUAAAGAGGAGCCGUGAGACGACCAGUGGCGGCCAGUGACGGUAUAAGAAUGGUUCGUGUCGCGAAACACCUGCCCAAAUUCCAACUAUUGGACGCAGAUGAGAAAUGGAGCUGCGGAGAAAAGAGGAGACAAAAGCGACCGAGCCGGCGGCCAGCGGAAAAAGCAUCCACGGGAGGAAAACUCAAGAAAAAAUCUCUGAGGAAUUCACAUCAAUUUUUCAUCAUCCUAAUUUAUAACAAGUCAAGAAAUGUCCCAUAGUAUUCCUGAUUAUAUUUCUUCGUUAUUAUAUUA
Long non-coding RNA from Harmonia axyridis, 627 nucleotides. RefSeq lists it as uncharacterized. The record is from RefSeq and is a predicted model, not a curated record. NCBI's taxonomy places the organism in Eukaryota, Metazoa, Arthropoda, Insecta, Coleoptera, Coccinellidae. The transcript has 2 exons.